UUAUUUUGGACUUGGGUCUCCUCAUUCCAAGCCCAUUACCCACGAAAUUAGUCUAUAAAUACUGAAGUUUCAGUAGAGGAAAAAACACUUGGAGUUUACACUGGGAGAUUCACUGGAGAAAGAAGGAAGAGAAGCAAAACACUCUGAGGUUUCCUUGGAACAAAACCUUGAGGAAAAAGAAAGAGAGAGAACAGAGAAGGACG
RNAcentral lists this long non-coding RNA (203 nucleotides) under Lathyrus oleraceus (garden pea). RNAcentral's name for it is "Pisum sativum (pea) long non-coding RNA (PSAT_LNC009643)". Lineage: Eukaryota; Viridiplantae; Streptophyta; Magnoliopsida; Fabales; Fabaceae. The record is from RNAcentral.